Molecule: non-coding RNA, 69 nt
Filed under: Kibdelosporangium phytohabitans
Lineage: Bacteria; Bacillati; Actinomycetota; Actinomycetes; Pseudonocardiales; Pseudonocardiaceae
Source: RNAcentral
GGGAAGCCGGUCGAAAUCCGGCACUGUCGCGCAACCGUGGGUCACCGGAAGGUGACGAGUCGGGUCACC